RNAcentral lists this transfer RNA (68 nucleotides) under Marmota monax (woodchuck). RNAcentral describes it as "tRNA.Ala". The stretch from base 5 to 65 matches the Rfam family "tRNA", at positions 6 to 65 of the family's 71-position model. From Rfam's summary of the family: Transfer RNA (tRNA) molecules are approximately 80 nucleotides in length. Their secondary structure includes four short double-helical elements and three loops (D, anti-codon, and T loops). Further hydrogen bonds mediate the characteristic L-shaped molecular structure. tRNAs have two regions of fundamental functional importance: the anti-codon, which is responsible for specific mRNA codon recognition, and the 3' end, to which the tRNAs corresponding amino acid is attached (by aminoacyl-tRNA synthetases). tRNAs cope with the degeneracy of the genetic code in two manners: having more than one tRNA (with a specific anti-codon) for a particular amino acid; and 'wobble' base-pairing, i.e. permitting non-standard base-pairing at the 3rd anti-codon position. Lineage: Eukaryota; Metazoa; Chordata; Mammalia; Rodentia; Sciuridae. The record is from RNAcentral.
GGAUUGUGACUCAGAGGUAGAGUACUUGCCUAGCAUGCAUGAGGCACUGGGUUCAAUCCUCAGCACCA